GACAGAGGGUGCAAACGUUGUUCGGAAUCAUUGGGCGUAAAGCGCACGUAGGCGGUCGUGACAAGUCACUUGUGAAAUCUCCGGGCUUAACUCGGAACGGUCAAGUGAUACUGUCGGACUAGAGUACAGAAGGGGCAACUGGAAUUCUCGGUAUAGCGGUGAAAUGCGUAGAUAUCGAGAGGAACACCUGCGGCGAAGGCGGGUUGCUGGGCUGAUACUGACGCUGAGGCGCGAAAGCCAGGGGAGCGAACGGG
This 254-nucleotide ribosomal RNA is filed under the name uncultured bacterium. Its description in RNAcentral is "partial 16S ribosomal RNA". It matches the Rfam family "Bacterial small subunit ribosomal RNA", at positions 524 to 776 of the family's 1533-position model. The record is from RNAcentral.